ACGUAGGAUCCGAGCGUUAUCCGGAUUUAUUGGGUUUAAAGGGUGCGUCGGCGGUUUUAUAAGUCAGUGGUGAAAAGCAUGGGCUCAACCUGUGGAGUGCCAUUGAUACUGUAAGACUGGAAUACGGAUGCUGUGGGAGGAAUGUGUAGUGUAGCGGGGAAAUGCAUAGAUAUUACACAGAACACCGAUUGCGAAGGCAUCUCACAAAGCCGUUACUGACGCUAAUGCACGAAAGCGUGGGGAUAAAUCAG
RNAcentral lists this ribosomal RNA (251 nucleotides) under uncultured bacterium. RNAcentral's name for it is "partial 16S ribosomal RNA". It matches the Rfam family "Bacterial small subunit ribosomal RNA", at positions 525 to 775 of the family's 1533-position model. The record is from RNAcentral.